GAUUGAUAGCUCUUUCUUGAUUCUAUGGGUGGUGGUGCAUGGCCGUUCUUAGUUGGUGGAGUGAUUUGUCUGGUUAAUUCCGAUAACGAACGAGACCUUAACCUGCUAACUAGUCUAAUCCAUUUUAUGGAAUAUGACUUCUUAGAGGGACUAUGUAUUUAAAUACAUGGAAGUUUGAGGCAAUAACAGGUCUGUGAUGCCCUUAUAUGUCCUGGGCUGCACGCGUGCUACACUGAUGCAUACAACAAGUGCCUAGCCCGCCAGGGUAUGGCAAUCUCGAAUAUGCAUCGUGAUGGGGAUAGAUCUUUGCAAUUAUAGAUCUUGAACGAGGAAUUCCUAGUAAGUGCAAGUCAUCAUCUUGCAUUGAUUAUGUCCCUGCCCUUUGUACACACCGCCCGUCGCUCCUACCGAUACCGGGUGAUCCGGUGAACCUUUUGGACCGCUAUGCGGAAAAAUAAGUAAACCAUAUCACCUAGAGGAAGGAGAAGUCGUAACAAG
Molecule: ribosomal RNA, 498 nt
Filed under: Balantioides coli
Lineage: Eukaryota; Ciliophora; Litostomatea; Vestibuliferida; Balantidiidae
Description: SSU rRNA
Rfam family: Eukaryotic small subunit ribosomal RNA
Source: RNAcentral